ACUUUAAUUGAAGAGUUUGAUCAUGGCUCAGAUUGAACGCUGGCGGCAGGCCUAACACAUGCAAGUCGAGCGGAAACGGCGG
RNAcentral lists this ribosomal RNA (82 nucleotides) under Salinivibrio costicola subsp. alcaliphilus. RNAcentral's name for it is "partial 16S ribosomal RNA". It matches the Rfam family "Bacterial small subunit ribosomal RNA", at positions 1 to 78 of the family's 1533-position model. The record is from RNAcentral. Lineage: Bacteria; Pseudomonadati; Pseudomonadota; Gammaproteobacteria; Vibrionales; Vibrionaceae.